ACAUCCAGAGAAUUUAGCAGNGAUGCUUUAGUGCCUUCGGGAACUCUGAGACAGGUGCUGCAUGGCUGUCGUCAGCUCGUGUUGUGAAAUGUUGGGUUAAGUCCCGCAACGAGCGCAACCCUUAUCCUUUGUUGCCAGCACGUAAUGGUGGGAACUCAAAGGAGACUGCCGGUGAUAAACCGGAGGAAGGUGGGGAUGACGUCAAGUCAUCAUGGCCCUUACGAGUAGGGCUACACACGUGCUACAAUGGCGCAUACAAAGAGAAGCGACCUCGCGAGAGCAAGCGGACCUCAUAAAGCGCGUCGUAGUCCGGAUUGGAGUCUGCAACUCGACUCCAUGAAGUCGGAAUCGCUAGUAAUCGUAAAUCAGAAUGUUACGGUGAAUACGUUCCCGGGCCUUGUACACACCGCCCGUCACACCAUGGGAGUGGGUUGCAAAAGAAGUAGAUAGCUUAACCUUCGGGAGGGCGUUUACCACUUUGUGAUUCAUGACUGGGGUGAAGUCGUAACAAGGUAAGCGUAGUGCU
Molecule: ribosomal RNA, 526 nt
Filed under: uncultured bacterium
Lineage: Bacteria
Description: bacterial SSU rRNA
Rfam family: Bacterial small subunit ribosomal RNA
Source: RNAcentral